RNAcentral lists this ribosomal RNA (443 nucleotides) under Salmonella enterica subsp. enterica serovar Berta. Its description in RNAcentral is "bacterial SSU rRNA". It matches the Rfam family "Bacterial small subunit ribosomal RNA", at positions 269 to 704 of the family's 1533-position model. Lineage: Bacteria; Pseudomonadati; Pseudomonadota; Gammaproteobacteria; Enterobacterales; Enterobacteriaceae. RNAcentral also lists the same sequence under 5 other names. The record is from RNAcentral.
CAAGGCGACGAUCCCUAGCUGGUCUGAGAGGAUGACCAGCCACACUGGAACUGAGACACGGUCCAGACUCCUACGGGAGGCAGCAGUGGGGAAUAUUGCACAAUGGGCGCAAGCCUGAUGCAGCCAUGCCGCGUGUAUGAAGAAGGCCUUCGGGUUGUAAAGUACUUUCAGCGGGGAGGAAGGUGUUGUGGUUAAUAACCGCAGCAAUUGACGUUACCCGCAGAAGAAGCACCGGCUAACUCCGUGCCAGCAGCCGCGGUAAUACGGAGGGUGCAAGCGUUAAUCGGAAUUACUGGGCGUAAAGCGCACGCAGGCGGUCUGUCAAGUCGGAUGUGAAAUCCCCGGGCUCAACCUGGGAACUGCAUUCGAAACUGGCAGGCUUGAGUCUUGUAGAGGGGGGUAGAAUUCCAGGUGUAGCGGUGAAAUGCGUAGAGAUCUGGAGG